UCUUAUCUAUUUAAAUAAAACCCUACUAUUUUUAUUAAUUCACUAAGUCUCCUCAAUUCUCACUAAUUCCAUCAUUUUCCUUAAUUUUAAUUUUAAUUCUAACUUCCUCCCCAAAGCUCAAUUUCUCAAUAUUUAUAUUAUUUAAAUUAAUGAUAAUUAUAAUAAAAUUCUACCCAUCCUCAAUAAUACCAAUAAAUUAAAUAGUGCACUCAAAUAAAAUAAUAUAAAGCAUUUUAAUUUUAAUUAAAAUAAAAUAAACAAAAAAUCGAGACGUUAAAAC
RNAcentral lists this long non-coding RNA (280 nucleotides) under Lathyrus oleraceus (garden pea). RNAcentral's name for it is "Pisum sativum (pea) long non-coding RNA (PSAT_LNC022307)". The record is from RNAcentral. Lineage: Eukaryota; Viridiplantae; Streptophyta; Magnoliopsida; Fabales; Fabaceae.